GAUGAAGAACGCAGUGAAAUGCGAUAAGUAGUGUGAAUUGCAGAAUGCAGUGAAUCAUCGAAUCUUUGAACGCACAUUGCGCCCCUCGGUAUUCCGUGGGGCAUGCCUGUUCGAGCGUCAUUUACCCCUCAAGCACUGCUUGGUGUUGGGCGUCUGUCCCGCUUCGCGCGCGGACUCGCCCCAAAGGUAUUGGCAGCGGUCGUGCCAGCUUCUCGCGCAGCACAUUGCGCUUCUCGAGGCGGUCGAUCGGCGUCCACGAAGCUCACCUCCACCGUUUGACCUCGGAUCAGGUAGGGAUACCCGCUGAACUUAAGCAUAUCAAUAAGCGGAGGA
Molecule: unclassified non-coding RNA, 333 nt
Filed under: soil metagenome
Description: partial contains 5.8S ribosomal RNA, internal transcribed spacer 2, and large subunit ribosomal RNA
Rfam family: 5.8S ribosomal RNA (bases 1-120)
Source: RNAcentral